Molecule: long non-coding RNA, 757 nt
Filed under: Anas platyrhynchos platyrhynchos (common mallard)
Lineage: Eukaryota; Metazoa; Chordata; Aves; Anseriformes; Anatidae
Description: lncRNA (ENSAPLG00000023871.1)
Source: RNAcentral
GAUGAGGGCUUGGGGCUAUGGUCUGCAAGUGUGAAGUGGAAGGCUUGACAACCUGCUGCUGGGAGGAGCUGGGUUAGUGAUACCUGGUAGUUACAGUACUCACUCCUCAGUCCAUCUUCAUUCCAGGUUUGACAGGAUCAGACUGAAUAACUAGCUUUAGCAGGAUCAGGACUUCCAAGGGCUGGAGACAAAGUGUUCUGCACUGUUAGAUUACAUGACUCUUAACCUUGGCAUUUUCUGAUCCUGACAUCAGUCUACACUAACAACAAGCAACAGAAAAGUAGAAAGAGGGCUGGGGGAGAGAAGUAUGAAGCAAUAAGUUGUUUGCUUAUUCUUUUCUAAAUUGCUUAGCUACCAUGGAGAUAAGCAUAGCACAGAUACCAAGAGGAACUAAUGUUAUUCCCGCACAUGUUAUUCGACAGCACUGUGUACGAUUAUAAAGCUUUAAAAAUAAAAUAUCUUAGUGAUUGAAUUUUGGAAUUCUGAACCUCAGAUCAGUGAACAGUAUUGCCUUUCAAGAGAGAAAAAAAAAAAAAAAAAAAAAAAAAAAAAAAAAAAAAAAAAAAGCUGCAUGAAGAGUUACUCUUUAAAUUAUUUUCUACAUAUUUGUAAGAACAUAGCAAAAAGUGUCUUCAUUUAUAUUAAAUCAGGAUUUUAUAGCUCAAAGCUGUGAAGAAAAUCUGCGAAUCAAUUUCAUGAUAUUGACUUCUCUCUUAAAGCUAGUUCCUAUUUAAUCUAACCACAAACAGAUUUAGUA